GAUGAACGCUGGCGGCGUGCCUAAUACAUGCAAGUCGAGCGAACAGACCCGGAGUUUGCUCCUCUGACGUUAGCGGCGCACGGGUGAGUAACACGUGGAUAACCUACCUAUAAGACUGGGAUCACUUCGGGACACCGGCGCUAAUACCGGAUAAUCUAUUGAACCGCGUGGUUCAAUAGUGAAUGACGGUUUUUCUGUCACUACUCGCUGCUUCUCCGCCGCUUUAGCUAGUUGGUACGGUAACGGCUUUCCAAGGCUACGAUGCGUAGCAGACCUGCGAGGGUGGGCAGCCACACUGGAACUGAGACCCGGUACAGACUCCUACGGGUGGCAGCAGUAGGGAAGCUGCCGCAAGGGGCGAAGACUUGACGGAGCAGCGCCGCGGGAUUAAUGAAGGUCGUCGGGUCGUAGAACUCGGUUAUUAGGGAAGAACAAGUGUGUAAGUAACUAGGCGCGUGUUGACGGUACCUGGUCAGAGAGGCACGGCUAACUACGUG
This 497-nucleotide ribosomal RNA is filed under the name uncultured bacterium. RNAcentral's name for it is "partial 16S ribosomal RNA". It matches the Rfam family "Bacterial small subunit ribosomal RNA", at positions 28 to 507 of the family's 1533-position model. The record is from RNAcentral.